This 356-nucleotide long non-coding RNA is filed under the name Physcomitrium patens. RNAcentral describes it as "long non-coding RNA (PPAT_LNC004471)". The record is from RNAcentral. Lineage: Eukaryota; Viridiplantae; Streptophyta; Bryopsida; Funariales; Funariaceae.
UUCUUGUUUGAUAGCAGCUUGUUUCUUAGGUGAUUCACGGUAGCCGACUUGACUUAUAGGAGGCGCUUCAGUUACGAUGUUGUAGGUAAGGAUGUUUGUUCUGCCAAGGUCAGAGUCACCUAUGCUGAAUAUGUCUAGGUCACAAUGAAUGAGGUAGAAAAUUUCCAAUUUUUUAAUCAUCGGAGAGAUUGUUGUCAAGUGUAAUAGCAUUUAUCAAGGUUUGUAACUUUUUUUUGUUGGUUUGGAGUGGAAGGUGAGUGCUGGAUCCUUGCUGAUGUGAGGUAGUUGUUGCAUGGUGGGAGACAAGGCAACUUCCCUUUUGAUGUUGAGCCUUGCCUUGGGUAUGAAAGAAAGAC